CCUGGUGGUUUGAGCGGGGUGGUACCACCCGUUCCCAUCCCGAACACGGAAGUGAAACGCCCCAGCGCGGAGGAUACUGAGGGGUUUCCCCUUGUGGAAAAUAAGUCACUGCCAGGA
This 117-nucleotide ribosomal RNA is filed under the name Chloroflexi bacterium RBG_13_46_14. Lineage: Bacteria; Bacillati; Chloroflexota. The record is from RNAcentral.